RNAcentral lists this unclassified non-coding RNA (967 nucleotides) under Hevea brasiliensis (rubber tree). Lineage: Eukaryota; Viridiplantae; Streptophyta; Magnoliopsida; Malpighiales; Euphorbiaceae. The record is from RNAcentral.
CGAGAUCAUACAUAAACAAAACACACAACCAAAGGUUGAUACUCUAGAUAGACUAGAACACAACUUAAUAUCAGUUGGCAAGCUGAUUUUGCCCCCAACCAUCUCAACUCACUCUCUCAAACCCUAUAAGAGAGACCAAGAAAGCGGAGAAAGAGGAUGAGCACUCCCAUAAUGUUGGCCCCUUCACUCCUUUCUCCCCAAACUCGCAAUCCUAUUAUUGUAAACUAAAAGCUUCUUACUUUCACACAGUGCGAAAGAAGGUGAAAAAAGCCCCUUCAAAGACUGUACUGAUACUCCGGUGUAUAACUGCACAGACCAGCUCUUAUGUCAUACUCUUUGUGACUUUGCUUCUUAGGCGAGCGUGUACCCCGAAACCCAGACAUCAGCUGGAGAGGCGGAAUGGAUGUAGACGAACUCAAGGCUCUUUCCAGCGGGCAGAGAGUUGAGCCAGGUCGGAAAACCAUAGCCAUUGCCAGACUUGUCGAGCCCCCAAAGUGGACCAUAGAGCUUAGAUAUCGAAACCUUGAUGUUCUUCACGGUCUUGGAUGAUUUGUUGGUAACGAUGACUGAGUACCUAUAGUAAGACUUGCCCUUGAAAAUCCACGAUGAUGUUGAUUUCUGUUCGACCAUGAAUGGAGAGGAUGCUGGUGCAGGUGAUGGUUUCGGCUGGGGUAUUGGUUUUGGCUUCGGAUUCUGUUUCGGCGCGCUGGGAGUGGGGAGAAUCGCGGGAAGGAGUUGGUUGAAACCGCCAUGGCCGCCGUUGAGACGAGCCAAUAUACCGAUAAGGGGGGCGUUGUUGUAGGUUGCUGGCUCAGUCUGCUCGAAAUUGUCUCUCUCAUCGGCAAAGUUGUCAUUGGCGUCUGGUCCACCGACAAUGGCGCCAUCCAAUAAGUUGGGGUCACUGGCCUUACGGCCGUACCAGGUCUCAUAUCCUCCCCUGCAGGUGACGAAGGUUGGGUUUACCUUG